Long non-coding RNA from Lolium rigidum, 704 nucleotides. RefSeq lists it as uncharacterized. The transcript is spliced from 7 exons. The record is from RefSeq and is a predicted model, not a curated record. Lineage: Eukaryota; Viridiplantae; Streptophyta; Magnoliopsida; Poales; Poaceae.
CUGUUUCUCUAACUGCGACACUCGCCCGCCUCCAUCUCCAGUCGCCCAUGCACACAACCAGUCGACAAUUCAUCCAAGCAAGUGAUUCCAUAAAUUUCAAAUCUAGGAUGAGGCAUAUAAUAAUGCUCAGUAUUCAGGCAUAUGAAACUGCAUCUUACGCAUGUGAGCCAUUCAAAGCUGAUACAAGGUGAGCCACGCAAAACUGGAAUGUCUCUUUCGUUUGCUGAUACAUUCACUAAACUGGUGAUAAGCUUUCCUCAUACAAGUGGUAAUGUAAGAGGCAUCCAUUUGACUGAGCCAUGUUGGUAUCCUGGUACAUUGAGUUUGAUACCUUCACUCCUGCAGCCAAGAGAGGGCUGCCAGUCGCAAGGAUUAUGAGACACAUGCUCCCGCAGGCGAUUCUUGCUUGUGCGAUUGACGAUGAAUCGAUAAUACUAUAAUGAGCAAUCACCAUGUAGUCGAUUUUACAGACGAUGGCAACAAGGUGAAUGAACAGGUUACUGCCAUACUGGAGGAUGGGCGGAAAUUUUUAAGGUGAUCUUUUGGUUGGUGCAGAUGGCAAGGUGAGGAAGUUGCUUUUUGAGCAAGCACAAGUAUCUUAUUCAGAAUAUAUUUGCUACACUGGAAUUGCAUAGUUUGUGCCUCCUGAUAUUGACACAGUAGGGUACCAUGUGUUCCUUGAUCACAAACAAUAUUUCGUCCCC